Molecule: long non-coding RNA, 638 nt
Organism: Lontra canadensis (Northern American river otter)
Lineage: Eukaryota; Metazoa; Chordata; Mammalia; Carnivora; Mustelidae
Exons: 3
Source: RefSeq, a predicted model, not a curated record
AGGGCGCAGGGCGUCCUCCGGAGGGCGGAUUUCAUCAGCUGCCCCCUCUCCCCGGGGAGCCCGCGGGACCUGUCAAGCCGGUGGCCCAGGCCAGAAGGCAAGCUGAACGUUUCAAAGUCCAUGGGGCCUCUCUCUUCUGACCUUUUCAUUUAAGUGGGCCACAUUUAAGAAAUGCCAAGGAGGAAACCGUGGUGAUUUGUGGUUGCCAAGCCAAGUGGGGCGCUGAGAAAAAAGCGGAUGAAAUGGAAAAGGGGCCAGGUGGCAUCUGUCUUCUCUAGCAGGGAGAAGAGCCCAAGGUUCCGCUCCAUUGAGAGCAACAUAAAGGUAGCCCAGAGCCCCUGGGUUUUCUGGCAAUGGAUCUGAUCAUAAUGGUGGAAAUAGCAGUAUAUUGCGUGUGGAUACCCAGCUUCUGGAAACCAAGUAAAAAUCAUUGAAUACAAAUGGUUGAACACAGGUGUAGGGUGAAGAUUUCCAGGAGAACCCCAAGUUGAUACAAAGGCAAAUUGUCACUUUCUUCUUGCUGGAAACUGGGAUGGGGCGGGGACACUUGGUUGAUCAAGACGAAAGAGUCCAGGGAUGCCUGGGUGGCUCAGUUGGUUGAGCCGCUCCCUUUGGUUUGAUUUUAAAUAAAAUCUUAA